UAGAGGGGGCAAGCGUUGUUCGGAAUUACUGGGCGUAAAGGGCGCGUAGGCGGCCUGCUAAGUCGAACGUGAAAUCCCCGGGCUCAACCCGGGAACUGCGCCCGAUACUGGCAGGCUCGAAUCCGGGAGAGGGAUGUGGAAUUCCAGGUGUAGCGGUGAAAUGCGUAGAUAUCUGGAGGAACACCGGUGGCGAAGGCGGCAUCCUGGACCGGUAUUGACGCUGAGGCGCGAAAGCCAGGGGAGCAAACGGGAUUAGAUACCCCGGUAGUCCUGGCCCUAAACGAUGAAUGCUUGGUGUGGCGGGUAUCGAUCCCUGCCGUGCCGAAGCUAACGCAUUAAGCAUUCCGCCUGGGGAGUACGGUCGCAAGGCUG
Molecule: ribosomal RNA, 372 nt
Filed under: uncultured organism
Description: bacterial SSU rRNA
Rfam family: Bacterial small subunit ribosomal RNA
Source: RNAcentral